This 965-nucleotide long non-coding RNA is filed under the name Lactuca sativa (garden lettuce). RNAcentral describes it as "long non-coding RNA (LSAT_LNC003457)". Lineage: Eukaryota; Viridiplantae; Streptophyta; Magnoliopsida; Asterales; Asteraceae. The record is from RNAcentral.
AAAAAACUCGGUACUCAAACACGUUCCUCCUUACCGUUUGCUUUUUCCUCUAACUUGAAGACGAAGAACCCUACAUCGAUUUGGAGUGCCGCUGCCGGAAUUUCAUUUACUAAACGCUACAGCGCCCGUCGGAAUCGUAUGUACUAUUCUCUCUCCCCCUCAAUCUUGUUUUUCGACACUUGUAAUCACGAUUUGACGAACCCUAGAUAAAUUUCAGUUUCUAGUGUUUGCUCCACUUCACCACCACUGUCGUCGGUAUCUUCCACAUUCCCACUACCGUAACUGUCGCCGGUUCCUCCCACUCCACCACCACUGUGGCCAGUUACUCCCAAUCCACCCCACCGGUACUUGUAAUCAGGUAUGUCGUUCACAACUUCAAAAAUUAUUUGAGAGGUUUGUUCAAACUUCAACCUGGUAUAUAUGUGUUGUAUGUAUAAGUAUGUAUCAAUGUAUAUCCUCAAUUUCACAUCAAUAUGUUGUAUUUAUCAAUUUGUACAAUUUCACAUCAGUUUGUAUCAAUGUAUGUAUAUAAAUGGCUUUAUGAGUUUGUACUUGUACCAAACAACAUAUAAUUUGAAAUAAAUAUAAUAAGAACAUUACUAGCUAUAUUAAUAACAGGCAAAAUAUAAGAAUAUAUUUGAGUUCAAGCAUGAAAGAGACAUUCCUCAAUAUGUUGUAUUAGUGUAUGUAUAUGUAUGGUUGUGUCAAUGUGUAUAUGUUACAUAGUAAGUUUUCAUUCCUUGUUAUGCCUUCGUUCAACAAGUAGAUAUUCGUGGUGUCAUCAUAAUUUGCUAAACUGAUGUUGUUUUGAUAAAACAACAUAUCUGUUAGUAUUUGUAUUGUUAACUGGUUAAAUGGUUAAGUUGUUAAAUUGUAUUGUUCACUUUUUGUUUUAACAAUUUUAAAUAAUUACCUUUAGACGAGAUGUCACAGAAUAGAGAAUGGAUGUACAUAAUGAGACUCAC